CGGAAGUGGCUCAGUUGGUAGAGCAUAACCUUGCCAAGGUUGGGGUCGCGGGUUCGAGUCCCGUCUUCCG
RNAcentral lists this transfer RNA (70 nucleotides) under human gut metagenome. It matches the Rfam family "tRNA". From Rfam's summary of the family: Transfer RNA (tRNA) molecules are approximately 80 nucleotides in length. Their secondary structure includes four short double-helical elements and three loops (D, anti-codon, and T loops). The record is from RNAcentral. RNAcentral also lists the same sequence under 2 other names.